UGCCAGCCGCCGCGGUAAUACAGAGGUGGCAAGCGUUGUUCGGAAUCACUGGGCAUAAAGGGGGCGUAGGCGGCGUAGAAAGUCAGGUGUGAAAUCCCUCGGCUCACCCGAGGAACUGCGCCUGAUACUACUAUGCUUGAGUUUAGGAGGGGAGAGUGGAACUCCUGGUGGAGCGGUGAAAUGCGUAGAGAUCAGGAGGAACGCCGGUGGCGAAAGCGACUCUCUGGCCUAAUACUGACGCUGAGGCCCGAAAGCUAGGGGAGCAAACAGGAUUAGAUA
Molecule: ribosomal RNA, 279 nt
Filed under: uncultured bacterium
Lineage: Bacteria
Description: partial 16S ribosomal RNA
Rfam family: Bacterial small subunit ribosomal RNA
Source: RNAcentral